GCACGGGUGAGUAAAGAAUAGAUUACAUGCCUCAUAGACCGGGACAACAGUUGGAAACGACUGCUAAUACUGGAUAUUCCCUACGGGGGAGAGCUUUUGCGCUAUGAGAUUGGUCUAUUUCCCAUCAGCUAGUUGGUAAGGUAAUGGCUUACCAAGGCUAUGACGGGUAGCUGGUCUUAGAGGACGAUCAGCCACACUGGAACUGAGACACGGUCCAGACUCCUACGGGAGGCAGCAGUGGGGAAUAUUGCACAAUGGGGGAAACCCUGAUGCAGCAACGCCGCGUGGAGGAUGACGCAUUUCGGUGUGUAAACUCCUCUUAUUAAGGAAGAAAUUUGACGGUCCUUAAUGAAUAAGCACCGGCUAACUCCGUGCCAGCAGCCGCGGUAAUACGGAGGGUGCAAGCGUUACUCGGAAUUACUGGGCGUAAAGGACGCGUAGGCGGCCAGAUAAGUCANAUGUGAAAUCCUAUGGCUUAACCAUAGAACUGCAUCUAAAACUAUUUGGCUAGAGUGAGGGAGAGGUCAGUGGAAUUAGUGGUGUAGGGGUAAAAUCCGUAGAGAUCACUAGGAAUACUCAUUGCGAAGGCGACUGACUGGAACUUAACUGACGCUGAGGCGU
RNAcentral lists this ribosomal RNA (621 nucleotides) under uncultured bacterium. Its description in RNAcentral is "bacterial SSU rRNA". It matches the Rfam family "Bacterial small subunit ribosomal RNA", at positions 100 to 754 of the family's 1533-position model. The record is from RNAcentral.